CAGCCGCCGCGGUAAUACGAAGGGGGCUAGCGUUACUCGGAAUUACUGGGCGUAAAGGGCGCGUAGGCGGCGCUCCAAGUUAGGCGUGAAAGUCCUGGGCUCAACCUGGGAACUGCGCUUAAGACUGGAGUGCUUGAGGAUGGAAGAGGGUUGUGGAAUUCCCAGUGUAGAGGUGAAAUUCGUAGAUAUUGGGAAGAACACCGGUGGCGAAGGCGGCAACCUGGUCCAUUACUGACGCUGAGGCGCGACAGCGUGGGGAGCAAACAGGAUUAGAUACCCGGGUAGUCCCUGUCUCUUAUAC
RNAcentral lists this ribosomal RNA (301 nucleotides) under uncultured bacterium. RNAcentral describes it as "partial 16S ribosomal RNA". It matches the Rfam family "Bacterial small subunit ribosomal RNA", at positions 509 to 807 of the family's 1533-position model. The record is from RNAcentral.